Molecule: long non-coding RNA, 740 nt
Organism: Solanum pennellii
Lineage: Eukaryota; Viridiplantae; Streptophyta; Magnoliopsida; Solanales; Solanaceae
Exons: 2
Source: RefSeq, a predicted model, not a curated record
UUGUGUCUUCAAUGUACAAUUGUGUCUUGCUUCAUAUUUGAGAUUUUACUUCACAUCUUUGCUCACAAAAUGUCUCUCCUUUCUCAGGCAUUCAUUCUAGAUUUCAAUGUGUGAUUCUAGUAUUGUUCUUGAGUGAGUUCAGUCUCCUCGCCUUUUGUAAGUGUAACUCUGUAAGACACUUUGUUUCUCAUCACGUGACUUCUUUAAUUUGUAUGUCUCUUUAUUAGGUAGUUUUUUUUUUUUGUUUUUGCUUCUAGAAACUACAUGUUGACAAUUCAUUUAGGUAGCUUUCAGCUGUUAUAAGUGUUGUAAAGUUAAAUGUUGUAGCAAUUUCAUAAAAGAGCUAGAUCAGAUUUCUGAUAAUAUAUAAACGCCAACAAAAAAAAAUUAGGUGGCCAGAGUUAUAAGUUGAUGGCAUCCAAAAAGGAAGGUCUUCUUAGCUCGACAGCUAGGAAACAAAGAUGAAUUAAAAAGGCGUCGUCGAGCUGACAGUACAAUUACGUCAUCUUUUGAAGGAACUGGCCUCUUUCCAGUGGCAAUCCUAAUACUGAAAAGUGAGACAGGAAUUUUAUGUGUUCUACAUCGUCAUCACUAACUAUUUCCCUCAUCUUUGCAUUUCUUGAUCGGUUGCUGAAGCACCUAUCCAUCUUGUUCGUCCUCAUAUCUCUCUCUAUAAAUGUCUUUGUAAUAUUUUCCUUUGUCGUGGAUCAAUUGACUUAUUUUCAGCUGUGUGAGAUUGA